UUGGAGAUUGUGUAGCAAUGUGCAGCAUAUGCUCUUGAUGAUAUUUUCAUAUAACUAUGUUGAGCUAAAUACUUUUGUGAAUCAAAUGUUAAUCUUAAAUAAUGAAUUCUGAAAUGCUUAUCACUCAUGACUAGCUACCUAUUUAUGCAUUGCUCUCGCUUGAAUGCUAGUUCCAUGUUUAGCUUUGCUUGGAAUUCAUAUUCUUUUCAAUUGGAUCAAAGAUCUAGGUAUCAUUGCAAAUGUUUAGCCCAUGAU
This 255-nucleotide long non-coding RNA is filed under the name Setaria viridis. RNAcentral's name for it is "long non-coding RNA (SVIR_LNC004774)". The record is from RNAcentral. Lineage: Eukaryota; Viridiplantae; Streptophyta; Magnoliopsida; Poales; Poaceae.